This 325-nucleotide ribosomal RNA is filed under the name uncultured eukaryote. RNAcentral's name for it is "partial 18S ribosomal RNA". It matches the Rfam family "Eukaryotic small subunit ribosomal RNA", at positions 1470 to 1796 of the family's 1831-position model. The record is from RNAcentral.
CCCUUAGAUGUUCUGGGCCGCACGCGCGCUACACUGAUGCUUUCAACGAGCCUAUCCUUGACCGACAGGUCCGGGUAAUCUUUGAAUCUGCAUCGUGACGGGGAUAGAUUAUUGCAAUUAUUAAUCUUCAACGAGGAAUGCCUAGUAGGCGCAAGUCAUCAGCUUGCGUCGAUUACGUCCCUGCCCUUUGUACACACCGCCCGUCGCUCCUACCGAUUGGGUGUGCUGGUGAAAUGUUCGGAUCGGCCGUUUGUCGCGGUUUCCGCGGCUCGUGGCUGAGAAGUUCAUUAAACCCUCCCACCUAGAGGAAGGAGAAGUCGUAACA